CAAAUGCUAUUAUCAUGAAUGACCAAUUAACCAAGCACAGAUGCAAUCAUGUAUAACUGGAACUACUCCUCAUCAAGAAUGUGUUUCACUCAAGCACACAAGUGUAUAUUGAGGUGACUCAUUCUCUCUACUAUCACAAUGUCACAUAAAUUAACUUUGCCUUUCAUUUAACCAUAAUUAAUCAUACUCACAAGCAAGUUAUAAUCACAAGGACUUUCCAUGGCUUAUAAUGAGGCUGGGCUUAACCAAGAAAAAUUAGUUUUUCUAGAUCACAAAAUCCUUGAGUUAAGAGAGUUAUUUGAAAAUUUAUCAUUCAAGCACAAACUCUCUUUAAAAAACUAAUCUCACUCAUUCCCAACUUUUCCCUUUUUGCAUUGAGCUUAUCUUUUUCUUUCAUUCUUUCUUUUCUAUCUUUUCUAUCUUUUCAUGUUUUGCUCAACACAUUAGCUCAAUACUUAUCUUUUCUUUUUCAACUUUCCUAACAGCCCCAAACUUGAACCUUUAUCAAUACCACACAAUAAUUCU
Molecule: long non-coding RNA, 525 nt
Filed under: Vigna radiata
Lineage: Eukaryota; Viridiplantae; Streptophyta; Magnoliopsida; Fabales; Fabaceae
Description: long non-coding RNA (VRAD_LNC012516)
Source: RNAcentral